Molecule: ribosomal RNA, 579 nt
Filed under: uncultured bacterium
Lineage: Bacteria
Description: bacterial SSU rRNA
Rfam family: Bacterial small subunit ribosomal RNA
Source: RNAcentral
CCUACGGGAGGCAGCAGUAGGGAAUAUUGGGCAAUGGAGGCAACUCUGACCCAGCCAUGCCGCGUGCAGGAAGACGGUCCUCUGGAUUGUAAACUGCUUUUGAAUGGGAAGAAUGUGCUCCUUGCGAGGGGUAAUGACGGUACCAUUAGAAUAAGCCACGGCUAACUACGUGCCAGCAGCCGCGGUAAUACGUAGGUGGCGAGCGUUAUCCGGAUUUAUUGGGUUUAAAGGGUGCGUAGGCGGCUUAAUAAGUCGGUGGUUAAAAGUAGCAGCUUAACUGUUUUACAUGCCAUCGAUACUGUUGAGCUUGAGAUAUUUGGAGGCAGCUAGAAUUUCCGGUGUAGCGGUGAAAUGCAUAGAUACCGGAAGGAAUACCAAUUGCGAAGGCAGGUUGCUACGAAUAAACUGACGCUGAUGCACGAAAGCGUGGGGAUCAAACAGGAUUAGAUACCCUGGUAGUCCACGCCGUAAACGAUGAUUACUAGUUGUUGGGGUUUAAGCCUCAGUGACCAAGGGAAACCGAUAAGUAAUCCACCUGGGGAGUACGCCGGCAACGGUGAAACUCAAAGGAAUUGACGG